GGAGAACAAACCCAUGCUAGUUUUAGGUGUCUCUGGCCUAGCAGGCAGACGUGGUGUAAGAUGCAGGGACUGCAGGUUGAAGCUCUGUGAUGGCAGAGUGGGGCAAAAGCGAAAAGAGCCAGGAUAACCAGAGUCCCAGCUUGGAACAGUGUCCUGAAAACCAGGAGGAGCCUCCUGCCCUUGUGGGUUUUUUAAAACAAGAGAUAAGCCGUUUAGCAGCUCACAGCCCGUGUGGAGGCAGCUGCCUCGGAUCAGCGUGGCCGUGUCUUCUGCAAGAUGUGAAGAACCGUGUCCUUGUCCGGAAGGUGUUUCCCCAUCACCGCGGAGAAAACGCCUUUGAAUCAGCAGCAAAUCCUAGAGGCAUCGAACGAUCGCUGGAGAGGACUCCUCACAUCCAUAACCAAGGGGGUGAAAAGGCUUCGCCCCCAGCCCGGCGCCGUUCUCUGCGCACCCCCAGCCCGCGGGCUUGUCUCGCCCGCCAGGGACCCCACGCGUGGAUCCCCGCGGCCCCUCUGGUUCCUCACCAUGUACUGCGGUCGGGAGGGACGAUCCGGACGCCGCCGGCGCCAUCUAGUGCCACCGGGAGCGGGUGUUCCGCAGGGCUCACCGCCGGGCCGGGGGCUGUGCGGGGUACCGAGCUGCCGAGGCCAAAGCACAGCGAGCGGGGGUGACAGCCCCCACCUGCGCGGGUGUGACCGUGCGGGCUGUCCCACGCGGGCCGGGGCAGCCGGGUCUCUACAAGGGCAAAUGAACUUCAAAAGUCUGGAUUUGUUGUUAUUUUUUUAAUACUAUCAAGCCAAUGCCAUUUAACCCUUCCGUGCUGAAAAUGUCAUAAUAAAUGCCAGAAAGCUAGCAAGGGGAAGAA
Molecule: long non-coding RNA, 865 nt
Organism: Columba livia (rock pigeon)
Lineage: Eukaryota; Metazoa; Chordata; Aves; Columbiformes; Columbidae
Exons: 2
Source: RefSeq, a predicted model, not a curated record